AAAUUGAAGAGUUUGAUCAUGGCUCAGAUUGAACGCUGGCGGCAGGCCUAACACAUGCAAGUCGAACGGUAGCACAGAGAGCUUGCUCUCGGGUGACGAGUGGCGGACGGGUGAGUAAUGUCUGGGAAACUGCCCGA
RNAcentral lists this ribosomal RNA (137 nucleotides) under Salmonella enterica subsp. enterica serovar Kentucky. RNAcentral describes it as "partial 16S ribosomal RNA". It matches the Rfam family "Bacterial small subunit ribosomal RNA", at positions 1 to 133 of the family's 1533-position model. Lineage: Bacteria; Pseudomonadati; Pseudomonadota; Gammaproteobacteria; Enterobacterales; Enterobacteriaceae. The record is from RNAcentral.